AUUCCAGCUCCAAUAGCGUAUAUUAAAGUUGUUGCAGUUAAAAAGCUCGUAGUUGGAUUUCUGGCUAGGUGAAGCGUUCCCCAAGUUGGGUGCGAUGCGGCGCCUUGCCAUCCUUCUGUUAACCUGGGAAGCCUUAACGGCGGCCCACGGGGCUCAGAUAUUUUACCUUGAGAAAAUUAGAGUGUUUCAGGCAGGCUAGCGCCGGAAUACAUUAGCAUGGAAUAAUAGAAUAGGACUUCUGCCUCUUCUGUUGGUCUGAGGGGUUCAAGUAAUGAAUAAUAGGGAUAGUUGGGGGCAUUAGUACUUAACUGUCAGAGGUGAAAUUCUCGGAUUUGUUAAAGACUAACUUAUGCGAAAGCAUUUGCCAAGGAUGUUUUCAUUG
This 382-nucleotide ribosomal RNA is filed under the name Pelagostrobilidium sp. RNAcentral's name for it is "partial small subunit ribosomal RNA". It matches the Rfam family "Eukaryotic small subunit ribosomal RNA", at positions 582 to 975 of the family's 1831-position model. Lineage: Eukaryota; Ciliophora; Spirotrichea; Choreotrichida; Strobilidiidae. The record is from RNAcentral.